CUGUGCACUCUUAACUACUGAACAAAUAUUUUAAAAUUUAACCAAGAAAGAUAUAUUUCGUAAUCUAUUGACGAUGAUUACCGUGAAGAAGUUUAUUGGCUUAAUUGAGCUAAAAUGGGGAAUGCUUAUCAUAGCUAUCAUCGAUAUAUUACUAGGAGUAUUGGGAUACUUUCUAUCAGGAGCAUUGGCCAAUGAUGCGAUUUUCAGAUUUGUCAUGCCACUCUGUUAUUUUAUUCAUAUUAUUGGAUGCAUACUUAUAAUUGUUUCAAUAUUUGUGCAAAAAUAUCAGCUGGUAAUAACUUAUCUGAUAACUGCAAUCAUUCGCAUGGUGUUCAUUAUAGUCGCUAUCGUAAUUCAAGUUAUAAAUGGAUACAACGACAUUCCAAUGUAUAUUGUCGAAAUAAUUAUUUUAAUUCUUGGCAUUUACUUUUGGAUCUGCGUUUACUCUUGGUUGGUUGAGCUCGGAGGUAAAUUGUGCUGCUGCUAAGCAAUGGAUAAAUCAUGACCAGAUGGCUCUAGUAUUUUACUGAAUGCAGUUAAUUCAUCUACAUUAACAGAAGAUUCCUUGCACUCAAAAAUCGCUGAACUGAGAACCGAAGUUAUGCACUAUCAAUCCAGAUAUUAACAAAAUUUAAUAGUUCACUGUAGUAGUUAAAUAAAUUAAAAGUUUAAUUGAUAUACAA
Drosophila innubila is the source of this 683-nucleotide RNA transcript. RefSeq lists it as uncharacterized. The transcript is spliced from 5 exons. Lineage: Eukaryota; Metazoa; Arthropoda; Insecta; Diptera; Drosophilidae. The record is from RefSeq and is a predicted model, not a curated record.